This 973-nucleotide long non-coding RNA is filed under the name Olea europaea (common olive). RNAcentral describes it as "long non-coding RNA (OEUR_LNC013603)". Lineage: Eukaryota; Viridiplantae; Streptophyta; Magnoliopsida; Lamiales; Oleaceae. The record is from RNAcentral.
UCUAAACUACUGCAAACCCAAACCUAAACCAGUAACCUCGAUAGAAACCAUUCCUCCUCAACAAACCCCAUUCCAGAAGGCUCCAAAGAAGAACCCUCCUCAUUUACAACUUCUCUCACCGUCUCCUCCAACUCCUCUCCGAGAAAUUCUGAACCAUCAGACCUCUAAAAGCCCCAAACCAUAACCUUCAAAAUCAGAAACUCCCCAAUGUUGGUGAAGAAGGAACCAUCCUUCAAAAGUUCAUAAAUUUAAGGUUAGCCAACAUUUUUCACUAUUUUAAACUUUUUUAUGGUUUUUAUUCGAUUUUUGUGUUGAAAUGUUUAGUUUUUUUGUGUAUUGUAACAUGUGUUUUUGUGUUUUUAAGUGACUUAAAUAUAUAAUUUGAAAUGUUUAUUUUCCUAAAAUCAAGUUGUGAUGAUUAAAUUUUUAGGGUAAUACAUUUCUUAAAAUAAAAAAUACUGCUGAUUUGUUAAAUUGGGAGCACCUUUUCAUUCAUUAAGCUCUUUAAAAGUAGCAAGGAUAUGUCAUGGAGUGAAUUGAGUUUAAGUUGUUAGUCUUUCUAAUCAAUUAGCAGAACAAGGUUUGAUGGCAAAUUUUGUGAGAGGAAAAUAGAUUACUGGGACAACAUUUGUGUGUUUACCAUUAGGAAAUAGUUUUUUAAUUCCAUUCUUAAAUAAAUUUGACACAAGAUCAUUUCUUUCACUUUUCAGAGUGGUCUCUCAUGGUCUUCUAACAUAAAAACACCUUUUGAAACGUCUAGUUGCGUACUCAAAUGCUUUGCAAGUAACGCUGAAUUUUGAAGUUUGAACUACACAUGCUAGCUAGCCAUAUUUUCUUUUACAUAGAGAAGUGAGUAUUUAGAAAAUAGGAAUCUGUUUUCUAUAGCUGAAGGAAAUUCUGGUCAUUAACUAAAAAUUAAGCCUUUGCAACCCAGUAUCUGAUUCUUUAGUCAAUUAUGGCACCAAUGAUAUAA